ACAUUGUUUCAGGAUUCUUCAUCAUGGUGUGAUCUCAGCAGUUUUGAAUUCUUUGAAGAAGCAGAUUUUUCACCUAGCCAACAUCACACAGGCAAAGCCCUACAGCUUCAGCAAAGAGAGGGCAAUGGGACUAAACCUGCAGGAGAACCUAGCCCAAGGGUGAACAAACGUAUGUUGAGUGAGAGUUCACUUGACCCACCCAAGGUCUUACCUCCUGCAAGGCACAGCACAAUUCCACUGGUCAUCCUUCGAAAAAAACGGGGCCAGGCCAGCCCCUUAGCCACUGGAGACUGUAGCUCCUUCAUAUUUGCUGACGUCAGCAGUUCAACUCCCAAGCGUUCCCCUGUCAAAAGCCUACCCUUCUCUCCCUCGCAGUCUUAAACACUUCCAGUAACCAUGAAAACUCAGACUUGGAAAUG
Molecule: long non-coding RNA, 419 nt
Filed under: Homo sapiens (human)
Lineage: Eukaryota; Metazoa; Chordata; Mammalia; Primates; Hominidae
Description: HSALNT0113586
Source: RNAcentral